Long non-coding RNA from Mesocricetus auratus (golden hamster), 3955 nucleotides. RefSeq lists it as uncharacterized. Lineage: Eukaryota; Metazoa; Chordata; Mammalia; Rodentia; Cricetidae. The record is from RefSeq and is a predicted model, not a curated record. The transcript has 2 exons.
ACUCACAAUCAUCUACAAUUUAAUCUGGUGCUCUCUUCUGGCAUGUAGGCAAAACACUGUAUAUGUAAUAGAUAAAUCUAAAAAAAAAAAGAAAAAACAAAAACAACAAAAAAGUCCCCAAUAAGGGUUGGCAAGAUAGUUCAGUAGAAGCCGGGCGGUGGUGGUGCACGCCUUUAAUCCCAGCACUCGGGAUGCAGAGGCAGGCGGAUCUCUGUGAGUUUGAGGCCAACCUGGUCUACAAGAGUAAGUUCCAGGACAGCCUCCAAAGCCACAGAGAAACCCUGUCUCGAAAAAACAAAACAAAACAAAACAAAACAAAAACAAAAAAAAACCAAGAGUAAUGAUGACUGGAAUCUUCAGAAAUACAUGUACCUGCUAGUCAAGGACAUGGGACUCUUUGCUUUGUUUUUUGAGACUAUGUAGUCCUGUCUGGUCUGGAACUCACUUUGUAGACCAGGCUGGCCUUGAACUCAUAGAGAUCUGCCUGCUCCUGCCUCCCAAGUACCGGGAUUAGAUUACAAGUAUGGGCCACCACACCUCACCUCACUGGGAGGCAACCUGAAGGACCCAUCUGGUUCCCAUGGUAAUGCAUCCCUCAGGCUGGUUUUAGACUUCUUUUGUAGUCAUGAAUGACAUUGAACUUCUGACCCUCAGGCCUCCAGCUCCUAAGUACUGGGAUUACAGACAUGCACUGCCACACCUGGUUUAUGGGGUGCUGGGGGUGGAACCCAGGCUUCAUGCAUGUGAGGUGGUCACGCCACCACUGGAGCCACAGUCUCAACCUGGUUGGCUCUUUCUGGACUUCCCGCCUGUCCUAGGGAAGGCGGGCUGAGGUCAGUCCUGAACACUGACCCCUUCUAGAAACUACUCCUCAAAGAUAAGGGUAAGAGGUAGCCAUGCCCAGCCUUAGCUCUCCCCCUCACAGAGAUCCUCCUGCCUCUGCCUCCUAAGAGGUGAGAUCAAAGGCGUGCCUCACCACGCCUGCCUCUUGCUCUCUUUGGUUAUACUCCUAAACAAAACUGCCUGGAAUGUUGGUCCAGGGAUGGGACAUCGUGUAGGAUGUGAGCACCCAGCCUGCUCCCAGGGUGCCUUCCCCGCACUCUUCUGGGGGCCGCUGAUAGAGCUUAAAUGGCACUAAGGUUCCGACCCACCAGGCGCCCCAGCUGUCGGGUGACAUUCUAAAGAUCAAGCAAGUCUAGCUUUUCUCACACAUCAGCAGGGAUCCUGUCUUCAGGAACAGCCACUGAGAGCCCCCAUGAGGAACCCCCACAUGUUCUCCAAAUUCUCCUCCCACUGUCCUUGGCUCUAUCCCUGGGGCCACACUUGAAGUAGUCCUUGGGGGCCAGAGAGAUGGCUCAGAGGUUAAGAGCACUGGCUGUUCUUCCAAAGGUCCUGAGUUAAAUUCCCAACAACCACAUGGUGGCUCACAACCAUCUGUAGUGUGAUCUGGCGCCCUCUUCUGGACUGUAGGCAUACAUGCAGACAGAAUACUACAUGGAGGAGGAGGAGGAGGAGAAGAAGAAGGAAUAGGCUGAACACCACACACCUGCAUCUGCACACUUUUCUUAAGACCUUAGUCCCAAGUCACCCUCUCAUCUUUUAUACUCCAAAGAUGCCAGUGGGGGGGGGUCCCUUUUAUUCUACAAACCUCAGUGAAAAGAGAGUUAACUCAACACCCACAUUCUCGAUGAUUCUAGUUCUAGUAACAGGAACAAAGACCACACUAGCCAUGUAAACGUCAACAAGACUACACUCUUCUUUGAGACAAAGUCUCACUCUAAACCAGGUGUGGCGCACGCCUUUAAUCCCAGCAUUCCAGAGGCAGAGGCAGGCGGUCUCUGUGAGUUAGAGGCCAGAGUUUUCUAAAAUGUGAGUUUCCUGUCACAAAAAAAGAAAAUCUCACCCUGUAGCUUGGAGUGGCCCAGAACUCACCACCCCAGGCUAGAUUCAAACACAAGGUGAACCUGCUGCCUCCGCCACCCAAGUGCUAGGAUUAUGGGAAAGAGGCAGCGUGCCUGGCUUCUCCAGUGCUUUUGACAAGACCACUCUUGCUUGUAGGUGUUUCUAUGCCUCUUGGCCACAUUUCCUGUGCUUAGACUUGACCCCUGGUCGACCCCAGAAAUGCUACUGCUGCAUUAUUGCAAAGAUAGGGUCUCAUCAUGUAUUCAGUUUGGACUUUAUGUGUUGCUUAGGCCGGCCUUGAAUGCGGUUUUGUGGGGUUUGUUUGUUGAGACAACGCAGCCCAGCCAGCCUCAGACUCACUAUGCGUGGAGGAUGACCUUGAAUUCCUGAUCUCUCAGCCUCCAACUCCUAGGUGCUAGAUUACAGGUGUGACCCAACAUGCCUGCCUGGUUUAGGGGGUGCUAGGGGUCGAACCCAGGGCUUCCUGCAUAAAACACGAGCGCUCUUCCAACUCUGCUAUGCUCCCAGCCUCGAACUUCCGAUCUUCCUGCUUCUGCCUCCCGCGUUCUGAGUGGAGUCAUCAUUAUGCCCCUUCUCCCCGACGUUCCGCUCGCCAGUGUUCUCGCCCCACAUCCAGCAGCCAAACUGGCCACUGAAUGUCUCCCUGGUGGGGGACAGACGCCUGCAUUGCUAAUAGAGCCCUCCUCCGUCACCCAUCGAAGGGGUGGGUCACCAGCGGAGGCGGGAGAAGGUGCGCUGCCAUCCCGAUGAGCUGACAAGCCAUCCUGGAGGAGAAGGUGCGGCCCGGGGAGGCUGCGGGUGACAGUGGAGUGGUCAGCGUCACUUCUGGCCGGGCUGGGAAGUAAGGCUGAAAAGACUCCUUGGAAACCAGGCAGCCCCUCGGAGGAGGCUUCGGUUGGCCCUGCAGGGCGCUCCCAGGCCCUUCAGCUCAGUGUCCGCUGCCCACCCAGCCCAGAGAAGCGGGGCCUUACUCCUCAGCCGACCCUGCCCUCCGCUGUGGACAUCCUUCCCCUAGGACGUCAAACGCUGCCGUGGCUCCGGAAAGUUCUGUAGGCAAUCGUGGCGGCCUUCUCAGAGACGCUCCCGAGUGUCCGAGGAAACGACAACCCCAGAGGGACAGGAUGGGCCUCCCUCCCUGUGCACCUGGGCCCAGCCGCCUCUACCCCUCACCUCGGCCUCCUGCUCAGCCUCUUCCAGUUCAGCCUGCAGCCAGCCCAGCGCACAUUGGGGGCUCCAGCGACGCAUGCUCUCCUCUGGGACAGACCAGACAGGGACUCUGACUCCCACUGACCGCAGGUGACUACAGUUCCCGCCUCGGUGGCCUCCAAAUCCUCAACUGGCCUUGUUGUUUCGUUUGAGACAGGGUCUCUUACAGCCUCGAUCCUUGAACUCUGGGCUGUGUAGCCCAGGCUAGCCUCGAACCCCUGCUCCUCCUGUCUCUAGCCCUUAAAGUGCUGCGAUUAUAGGCACGCACAAACAAGUUUGGCUUAUCUUCUGUGCUUGUUUUUAUACUGUGGUUUCUUUUUCUCUUUAACAAGAUUUUAUUUGUAAUUACGAGUAUAUGUUUGUGUAUGAGUACACGCUCUUGACUGAGUUCAGGUCCCUGAAGAGGCCAGAGGUUGUCAGGUCCCCCUACCCCCAGGAUCUGGAGUCUGUGAGCUGUCCAAGUUGGGUGCUGGGAAUCAAACUCCAGUCCUUUCCAACCCCUGAGCCAUCUCCCCGGCCAUCACCAUCAUCAUCAUUUGAGAAAGGUUUCGUGUGUAGCCCAGGCUAGCCUGCCAAGCAUGGUACUCCCCAGUCUCCUGAGUGCAGGGUAGUAAUCGUGCACCACCAUGGUUUGCUCAGUUUCUUCAAUAACAUGGUCACUACUGAGUGUUUGUGGACAGAUACCCCCUCACUACCACACCAAGGCUACCACCGCCCGACCCAGCAGUUAGGUCAGACAUGAGGCAGCCCUGUAACCUGGAAUAAAAUAAAAUAAAAUAAAAUAAAGCUGAGACUGACCACAGGGGCAGUCCGGGCUUCAAGUUUA